Molecule: ribosomal RNA, 119 nt
Organism: Topomyia yanbarensis
Lineage: Eukaryota; Metazoa; Arthropoda; Insecta; Diptera; Culicidae
Source: RefSeq, a predicted model, not a curated record
GUCAACGACCAUACCAUGUUGAAAACACCGGUUCUCGUCCGAUGACCGAAGUUAAGCAACAUCGGGCGCGAUUAGUACUUGGAUAGGUGACCGCUUGGGAACGUCGCGUGUCGUUGGCU